This 216-nucleotide long non-coding RNA is filed under the name Monodelphis domestica (gray short-tailed opossum). Its description in RNAcentral is "lncRNA (ENSMODG00000050886.1)". Lineage: Eukaryota; Metazoa; Chordata; Mammalia; Didelphimorphia; Didelphidae. The record is from RNAcentral.
GUUCCAGUAUCCAGAUUAUAUGAAGCCAAAUAUAUCUUGGAUGAAGGAUUUGAGACAAAUUAUUCAUCUUCCAAUCUAGAUCCUAUGGGACCACAACCAACCGAUUUUCAAGUCAAAAACUCAAUGGGAUCAACAGUUUGAAAACACAGAAAAGCAAACAAUAAUAUUCUGUUACAUUCAGAUAUUAUAAUUUGUACAGCAAAUUUGUAUUGAAUA